AAGAGUUUAGUUUAUGUUUAAAAUGUUAAAUUGUAAAUUUAGAGAAUUUUUUGCUCUUG
RNAcentral lists this transfer RNA (59 nucleotides) under Heterakis beramporia. RNAcentral's name for it is "tRNA-Tyr". The record is from RNAcentral. Lineage: Eukaryota; Metazoa; Nematoda; Chromadorea; Rhabditida; Heterakidae.